Molecule: ribosomal RNA, 274 nt
Filed under: Klebsiella pneumoniae
Lineage: Bacteria; Pseudomonadati; Pseudomonadota; Gammaproteobacteria; Enterobacterales; Enterobacteriaceae
Description: partial 16S ribosomal RNA
Rfam family: Bacterial small subunit ribosomal RNA
Source: RNAcentral
ACUUAAAUUGAAGAGUUUGAUCAUGGCUCAGAUUGAACGCUGGCGGCAGGCCUAACACAUGCAAGUCGAGCGGUAGCACAGAGAGCUUGCUCUCGGGUGACGAGCGGCGGACGGGUGAGUAAUGUCUGGGAAACUGCCUGAUGGAGGGGGAUAACUACUGGAAACGGUAGCUAAUACCGCAUAACGUCGCAAGACCAAAGUGGGGGACCUUCGGGCCUCAUGCCAUCAGAUGUGCCCAGAUGGGAUUAGCUAGUAGGUGGGGUAACGGCUCACC